Mobula hypostoma (lesser devil ray) is the source of this 6939-nucleotide RNA transcript. It is a transcript of the gene named flavin adenine dinucleotide synthetase 1, with no coding region annotated. The transcript is spliced from 9 exons. The record is from RefSeq and is a predicted model, not a curated record. Lineage: Eukaryota; Metazoa; Chordata; Chondrichthyes; Myliobatiformes; Myliobatidae.
GAAGGUGGCCCUGGUGGGAGGGGAGAGGAAGGAGCAAGUUAGAGUGAGGGGCAGCUCUGCAGACUUUGCAGUUACGCAGCAGACGGUGCAGACGGACACCGGCGGACAGUCCCUCGCUGGCCAGCGCGGUGACCCCCACGCCAGAGGCCAAAGUGAAUCCCAGCAGACCUGCCCCACCUCCCCCCGGGAUUGAUGCAUCGUGGUUCCAGGGUGCUGCGGAACGUCGUCCGACUGGAGAGACUGCGUCAUCACCUGCUGGCAAUGGAGGGCAGCACUGCGGCCGCUGACACCUUGGGAGACCGGGAACGCCGCACCGUCACAGCCGGGAUCAUCAUCAUUGGAGAUGAGAUCUUAAAGGGCUACACCCAGGACACCAACUCGUUCUUCCUCUGCCGGAGGUUACGGUCGCUAGGGGUGAAGGUGGAACGGGUAUCGGUGGUGCCCGAUGAGGUGGAGUCCAUCGCUGGCGAGGUGUCUGCCUUCUCUGGCCGCUUCCGCUACGUGCUGACCUCGGGCGGCAUUGGGCCCACCCACGACGACGUCACCUUUGAGGGGGUGGCCCGAGCCUUCGGCGAGACCACCUACCCCCACCCGGAGCUGGUGGCCCUGGUGAGGCGGCUGUCCGGCGAGGACGAGGAGGGGGGCGCAGAGACGGAAAGCGCGGCGCCCCGGAUGAAGCUGGCCCUUGUCCCCCGCUCCUCCCGGCUCCACUACGGCGCAGACCGCUCGACGGGAGCCCCCCUCCGCUACCCGCUGGUCAGCGUGCGCAACGUCUACCUCUUUCCCGGCGUGCCCGAGCUGCUGGAGCGAGCCAUGGGUGGCCUGGAGGACCUGUUCCGUAACCACGCGCUGCGGUACGCCACCCGGGAGCUCUUCGUGGACGCCGAGGAGACCCGGAUCGCACCCGUGCUGCAGGAGGCGCACCAGCAAUUUGGCCACCAGGUCGGGCUGGGCUCCUACCCCGCCUGGGGCAGCAACUUCUACCGGGUGAAGGUGACCCUGGACUCGGACCGUGAGGAGCCACUGGAGGAGGCGCAUCGCUUCCUGGCCGCGCACCUGCCCCCUGGCUCCAUCGUCCCCCUGGAGAAGGACCCCGUGGCCGUGUCGGCUCACAACGUCUAUCAGCUGGCUCAGUCAGAAUCGCGGCUCGGACGGAAGGUGUCAGCGGCACUGAGGACACUGGAGAAUGCCUUAGCCCAGUACAGUCUGUCCGAGCUCUGUGUGGGAUUUAACGGCGGAAAGGACUGCACGGUACUUGUGCAUCUGUUUCACGCAGCUGUCAGCAGGGCGGGGACCGGGUGCAAGCACCAGCUGCAGGCUCUCUACAUCCGGAUAGUGUCACCCUUCCCAGAGCUGGAGCAGUUCAUUCAGGACACCUGCAAGAGGUACAACCUGCAGCUCUUCACCGUGUGCGGAAACAUCAAGGAGGCGCUGACGGACUUGAAGGCGCGCCACCCUCACAUCAAGGCCGUCCUGAUGGGCACCCGGCGCGCUGACCCCUACUCCCGGACCCUGAAUUCUAUGUGUCCGACUGACCCAGGCUGGCCUGAGUACAUGAGGGUGAACCCGCUGCUGGACUGGAGUUACCACGACAUCUGGGAGUUCCUACGCACCCUCUACAUCCCGUACUGCAUCCUCUACGACAAAGGGUACACCUCCCUGGGCAGCAUGGACAACACCGGCAAGAACCCCAACCUGCGCUACGUGACGGGGCUGGGCCAGGAGCGCUACCGUCCUGCGUACCAGCUGGAGAAGGAGACCGAGGAGCGAAUGUCGCGAACGUAACUCAAUGCAGAUCCUCACUGGGUGGUCGCUGUCCUCCACGUUGGAUUUCCCACCGGCUCCCCUCCCUCACACCUCCUCCUCUCCGCCCUCUAACUCUGCCCCUUCCCUCCUCCCUCACCUCCAACUCUUUCUCCUCCAAAUCUGCCCCUUCCCUCCUCCCUCACCUCCACCUCCUCACAUCUUCCUCUUCCUCCUCCAACUCUGCCCUUUCCCUCCUCCCACACUCUUCCACCUCCACCUCUUCCCCUCCAAAUCUGCCCCUUCUCUCCUCCUUCACCUCCCCUCCCUACCUCCUCCUCUCCACCCUCCAACUCUGCCCUUUCGCUCCUCCCUCACCUCCACCUCCCCACCUCCUCCUCUCCACCCUCCAACUCUGCCCUUUCGCUCCUCCCUCACCUCCACCUCCCCACCUCCUCCUCUCCACCCUCCAAAUCUGCCCCUUCCCUCCUCCCUCACCUCCUCUUCCCCUCCAACUCUGCCCUUUCCCUCCUCCCUCACCUCCACCUCCCCACCUCCUCCUCUCCACCCUCCAACUCUGCCCUUUCCCUCCUCCCUCACCUCCUCCUCUCCACCCUCCAAAUCUGCCCCUUCCCUCCUCCCUCACCUCCACCUCCUCACCUCCUCCUCUUCCCCUCCAACUCUGCCCCUUCCCAUCUUCCCUCACCUCCACCUCCUCUCCACCCUCCAAAUCUGCCCCUUCCCUCCUCCCACACACCUCCACCUCCUCCUCUCCCCCUCCAACUCUUCCCCUCACCUCCUCCUCUUUCCCCUCCAAUUCUGCCCCUUCCUUCCUCCCUCACACCUCCAUCUCCUCUCUUCCUCAUCUUCUCCCUCCAACACUGCCCAUUCCCUCCCCUUCCUUUUCCUCACCUCUCACUCACUGCUCUCACUACCUUCCCCUCCCUUUGCCUUACCUUUGCUCUCCCUGGCCCCCACCUCGUCUUCCUCCAUGCUUACUCCCCUCUCCCCUCUCUCCCAGGUUUCCGCUGUCUCCCCCUCACUCGUCACGCAACCUCCCUUCCCCAUUCCGUGUUCAAGGGGAUACUGACUAAACCCAAUAACCCUGCCCCAACAUUUGCAGCUUGGGGUCUGGCAAUGUCCCACACUGGAGCCCCAUGCCAUGGGGAGAUGGGAUGCUGGGUGACUUGGGGCUGUUGAACUGUAGUGGGCAUCACCUCAGGCCAUUCCUGGCCCAGACAGGACACUACAGCACAGGCCCUUUGGCCCAUCUAGUCCUUGCUAAACCAGUGAUCUGCCAAGUCCCAUCAACCUGCCCUCCAAACCCCUCUCAUCCAUACACUGAUCCAAAUUUCUCUUAAAUGUUGAAAUUGACGCCGUAUCCACCGCCUGUGCUGGCAGCUCAUUCCACACUCUGAGUGAAGAAAUUCCCUUUCAUUUUCCCCUUAAGCACUUCACCUUUCACCCUUAGCCUAUGAUCCCUUAUUGUAGUCUCACCCAACCUCUGUGGAAAAAUCCUGCUUUCAUUUACCCUAUCUAUACCCCUUAUAAUUUUGUGUCUCAAAUCUCCCCUCAAUCUUCUACGUUCCAGGGAAUAAAGUCUUAACCUUUUCAAUCUUUCCCUAAAAUCGACGCUCUCAAGUCCUUGUAAGUUUUCUCUGUACUCUUUCAAACUUACUUGCAUCUUUCCUGUACGUAGGUGACCAAAACAGCACACAAUACUCCAAAUUAAACCUCAUCGAUUUCUACAUAACAUCCCAAUUUCUGUACUCAAUACAUUUUUGAAGGCCAAUGUGCCAAAAGCUUUCGUUACGACCCUAUCCGCCUGUGGUGCUAUUUUCAAGGAAUAAUAGAUCUGUAUUCCCAGAUCUCUCUGUUCCAUCACACUCCGCAGUGCCCUACCACUCCUCCCAAAGUGCAACACCCCAAACCUGUCUGCAUCCAAUUCCAUCUGCCAUUUUUCCAGAUCCCACUGCGAGCUUUGAUAAUCUUCCUCACUAUCUAUCAACUAUCUAUUAUUAUCCAGAUCGUUGACGUAGAUGUCAAACAACAAUGGACCCAGCACCGAUCCCUGUGGCACACCACUAGUCACAGGCCUCCAGUGAGAGAGGCAACCAUCUGCUCUGGCUUCUUCUGUGAAGCGAAUGUUGAAUCCAAUUUACUACCUCAUCUUGAAUGCUGAACAACUGAACCUUCUUGACCAGCCUCCGACACAGGACCCUGUCACAGGCCGUGCUAAAGUCCAUGUAGACAACAUCCACUGCCUUGCCUUCAUCAGCUUCCCUGCUAAUUUCCUCAAAAAGCUCUUAAGUUUGGUCAGACAUGAUCUACCACACACAAAGCCACGUUGACUAUCCUGAGUCAGUCCCUGUCUAUCCACAUAUUUACAUAUCCAGUCCCCUGGAACACCUUCCAGUAACUUUCCCACUCCUGAUGUAUGGGUUCACUGGUCUAUAUUUCUGCUAGGUUACUCAUAUAGCCUUUCCUAAACCACGCAACAACUUUAACUAUCCUCCAAUCCUCCAGCACCUCACCUGUUGCUAAGGAUGUUUUAAAUAUCUCUGCUCGGCCCUCCAAUUUCUGCACCCGCCUCCCACAGGGUCUGAGAGAACAUCUUGUCAGAACCUGGGGAUUUAUCCACCCUAAUUAGCCUCAAGACAGCAAACCCCUCCUCUUCUGUCAUCUCUACAGGAUCCAUGACUUCACUGCUGCUUUGCCUCACUUCCAUAGACUCUGUGUCCAUCUCCUGAGCAAAUACAGAUGCAAAAAAAAGCCAUUUAAGAUCUCUCACAUUCCUUUUAACUCCACAAGUAGAUUACCACUCUGAUUUUCCAAAGGACCAAUUUUGUCCCUCAUUGUCCUUUUGUUCUUAAUAUAUUUGUAGAAGCCUUCGGGAUUUUGCUUCACCUUGUCUACCAGAGCAACCUCAUGUCUUCUUUUAGCCCUUCUGAUUUCCUCCCUAAGUGUUCUCUUGCACUUGUUACACUCUUUAAGCACCUCGCGUUUUUCUACCCGCCCAGACCUGCUAUGCACCUUUUACUUCAAUAACUCUGGAAAAUCAAGGUUCCCUAAAUCUGUUGUCUUUGCCUUUUAUUCUGACAGGAACACACAAACUCUGUACUGUCAAAAAUUCACUUUUGAACUUGUCCCAAACCAGAUCCCUUCUGAUACCAUCAAGAAUGUCCUUCCUCCAAUUUAGAAUCUCAACCUGAGGACCGGACCCAUCUUUUUCCAUAAUUACCUGGAAACUAAUGGCAUUGUGGUCACUAGAUGCAGAGUGUUCCCCUACACAAAUCUCUGUCACCUGAGCUGCCUUAUUCCCAAAAGGAGAUCUAGUAUCACACACUCAAUGGUUGGGAUUUCUAUGUACUUAUUAAGGUAACUUUCCUCAACACAUUUGACAAACUCUUUCCCAUCCAGCCUUUUUUACAGUAUGGGAGUCCCGGUCAAUAUGGGGAAAGUUAAAAUCACCUGCUAUCUCAACCUUAUGUGUUUUUUUGCAACAGUCUGCGGUCUCUCUACAAAUUUGCUGUUCUAAACCCUGCGGACUGUUGGGUGGUCAAUAACACAAUCCCAUUAACGUGGUCAUACCUUCCUUCUUCCUCAGUUCUACUCUUACAGCCCCACUAGACCAGCUCUCCAGUCUGUCCUGGCUGAGCAUGUGACACUUUCCCUGACUAGUGAUGCCACCCCUCCUGCUCUGUCACGUCUAAAACCACAGAACCCCGGAAUAUUGAGCUGCCAGUCCUGUCCCUCCUGCAACCAAGUCUCUCGAAUGGCUACAAUGUCAUAAUUCCAUGUCCAGACUCUGGGCAGGUCAAUCUGAGACCCCGGGGAUCCUCAGCCUGGGGUUCCAAUUCUGGGGCCAGGGAGAAAUGUAGACACUCCCUCAUGGCUGGAGAAAGCAAGGAGGAACUUGAGGUUACUCUCUUCCCGACUCUGGGCAAAUCCCCUCACUGCCCCUCGAGAGGGUGGGGUCUCACCCCCAGUUUGAACCACUGCAGUCCGUGUAGGGAGGGGGCUGCCGGGAGGGAGUUCCAAGUUCCCGAUCUGACGACGGUGAAGGAACUGCUGAUACGAUGCCGAGUCGGGAUGGCAGAGGACGAUCCUGCAGAUGGUGGUGUUUCCCUCAGCAGGAAAUAUGGCUGGUUCAGGAGAGACAAGUGACCGUGUGUUUUGUAGGGGUCAUCUGGGGUCGGGGGGGGGAGGAGGGUGGUGGUUGGCCCAGGAGGUGUCAAACCUCUGAGAGCCACACACACCCAGGAAGUGGAGAGUGUCCUGUCACACUCCUCACCGAUGCCUUAUAAACAGGGGAAAGACCCUUGGGCCUCAGGAGGUGAAUCACUCACCCAGGGACAACACACGUGGUAAGUCCUUUGAUAUUAGGAGGGGAGCCCCAGGAAUUUAAUGGUUAAUGUCAAAAAUUCACUCAUUAAUUCCCAAAUUCUAUUGAAAAUCCCUGUGAACAUAAGAAGAACCAACUUUAGCAGAGGUGGUUCGACUAGUGGUAUAGUUUGUCUAUGUUAUGUGCGCUCAGUGGCCACUUUAUUAGGUACACCUGCUCGUUAAUGCAAAUAUCAAAUCAACCAAUCAUGUGGCAGUAACUCAAUGCAUGAAAGCAUGCAGACACGGUCAAGAGGUUCAGAUGUCGAUCAGACCAAACAUCAGAGCGGAGAAGAAAUGUGAUCUAUGUGGCUUUGACUGUGGAAUGAUUGUUGGUGCCAGAUGGGAUGGUUUGAGUAUCUCAGAAGCUGCUGAUCUCCUGGGAUUUUCACACACAAAGUGUCUACAGUUUACAGAGAAUGAUGCGAAAAACAGCAAAAGAAAACAUCCGGUGAGUGGCAAUUCUGUGGGUGAAAACAAGUUGUUAGUGAGAGGUCAGACUGGUUCAAGCUGACAGGAAGGCGACAGUAACUCAGAUAACCACAGGUUAUGACAGUGGUGUGUAGAAGAGCAUCUCUGAAUGCACAACAUGUUGAACAUUGAUGUGGAUGGACGACAACACAGAAGACCACACCGGAUUUCUCUCCUGUGCCAAAUAAAGUGGCCAUUGAAUGUAUGUCCAGAAGCUGGCUGCAGUCAGGAAAGCCCGGCAGGCCCAACCCUUCCACAUCUGAUUCUUGACCGGGAGCUGGGGAGCUGAGGAGCCGGAGCAGGGACCCGGGCGCCACCCUUCGACAGCCUGCUGUCAGAGAG